Molecule: unclassified non-coding RNA, 334 nt
Filed under: soil metagenome
Description: partial contains 5.8S ribosomal RNA, internal transcribed spacer 2, and large subunit ribosomal RNA
Rfam family: 5.8S ribosomal RNA (bases 1-120)
Source: RNAcentral
GAUGAAGAACGCAGCGAAAUGCGAUAAGUAGUGUGAAUUGCAGAAUUCAGUGAAUCAUCGAAUCUUUGAACGCACAUUGCGCCCCUUGGUAUUCCAUGGGGCAUGCCUGUUCGAGCGUCAUUUGUACCUUCAAGCUUUGCUUGGUGUUGGGUGUUUGUCUCGCCUUUGCGUGUAGACUCGCCUUAAAAUAAUUGGCAGCCGGCGUAUUGAUUUCGGAGCGCAGUACAUCUCGCGCUUUGCACUCAACGACAGCGUCCAAAAGUACAUUUUACACUCUUGACCUCGGAUCAGGUAGGGAUACCCGCUGAACUUAAGCAUAUCAAUAAGCGGAGGA